CGCUUUCAGCAGGGAAGAAGCGAAGUGACGGUACCUGCAGAAGAAGUACCGGCUAACUACGUGCCAGCAGCCGCGGUAAAAG
RNAcentral lists this ribosomal RNA (82 nucleotides) under Brevibacterium sp. Tn-P19. RNAcentral's name for it is "partial 16S ribosomal RNA". Lineage: Bacteria; Bacillati; Actinomycetota; Actinomycetes; Micrococcales; Brevibacteriaceae. The record is from RNAcentral.